CUUCAUGCUGCAAAAGUGAGUGACUUUGAGCAGGCUUUUUGCCAUAUCUGACAAUUCCAUUCUCCGAUACCCCAGGAUAUGCUUAAGCAAGUGAACUGCAUUGCUACUGGUCAAAAUUCCAGAGACCAGUUUCCUGUGGUGGACAAUUGCAGAGGGGAGGAAGUGCUCUAUGUUUGCAGCCCAGGAGAAAGAACAUUUGUGACGAAUCACACCUGAGACUGAAAUGCCAAAUGCAUGAAAGACACAUUAAACUGUUACACAGCCUAGAAGUAAUCUGAACUGACACAGACUUUGGUAACAGUCCUCAAUGUGUAACACCACUCCAAAAGAUGUCACUUCAGUAUCAGUGCAUAUGUGAAGAAAGAAAAUCCAUGAAAGAAAGAAAAAUAUGUACAAGAUAAAAAUGUACUACCCUCAUGUGAAAAUAUUAACACAAAGAAUCUACAACCAACUGUGUAGGACCUCAGCAGCCAACACGUCUACAUACUGAUACAGGAACAUGAUUCAAGAAUCUUUAAGCUGAGACGUGUUGAUUGUUUGAGACAUAAACUUUCCCUGAAGAGUUGAACUUAGAGUACUGGACACACUCUGUACAAUUUUCAGCUUUCUGACUGUUUGCAUACUGUUUCAAAGCUCUGCCUGACUCAAUUUCAAGAAAGUGAUACCUACCACAGAGACUGCUUUGAUCAAACUUCUCAGACCAUGCUGAACCUACGUGGAUCUGGACAUAAAUGCCUCUGAUUAUGCACUUCUGUUUCCCACAAGAGACCAGCUACAGGCAAAAAAACUAACUGAAUUAUGUAGAAGCCACAAGUGUAGGCUCCAGUUUUUCCUGUUCCUUGACUUUUCACUGAAUUUGACAUCUGGAGUACAGCACCAGUCUGAGAUUCAGCCUAAAGUAAAAAUAUUCUACCAAUCUAUUCCAAGUAUCAAGAGUCAGCCUUGCGAAUCUCACUUGAGAAGCUGAGCGCUAAAAUACAGACAAUGGUGAUACUGGAUAUCACCUGAGCUGUUUUGCUGAAUGCCUGUCCAGCACUGCUCCUAAUGGGAUGCAGUUAGUUCCAAGAGUUAGUGAAUAGUUCUGAGCUUGGCAGGAUUGAUACAUUUGUCACUACUAUGAAGUUUCUCACAGUGUAUGACCUUGUCUAUAUAGAUCUUUCUUGAAGCUAUUAACUGCAAUCCCAGGGGAUGUUCUACCUUUUCCUGAAAUAAGUAAAAACAGCAUUAUGAGCUAAAAAUAUUGCUGCAGAAGGUAGCUGACAUGAGAAAGUAUGAGGACAAUGGACACUGAGAUAAGAAAGACUUAAUUCAGUAAUAGAAUGAGAAAAAAAUUAAACCCCCAUAAAUAGACCCAAACUGGCACAUGACACAAAUUGUGCACAACAGCUCCGCUGCGUCAGGGUUGCUCUGGCUGCUGGUUCCAAGUAGCCUCCACUAACUGGUUUUGGGGGAUUUGUAAAUCCCAGUAAGGCAGCUGGGGCUGCUGCACCCUGCUACUCCUGCACUGGGAAGUAAGUACUGGCUGGAGGGAGGCAACCAGGUCAAGACAGAAUAUGUCAUCCUGCCCAGAAAAUACCACUUGCUGUGGUAAAAGCCUUCUUCCUACUUCCCCUUCUCCAACCCAUCCAGUUACCUACCUUACUUUUUGAAAUAUUUCCUUUUUUCCUACGUGAAUUUCCACAUAGUCUCACUUGGAGGUAUACUUGCUGUUUUUGAUAAAUGCCAUCCAUUAUUAACACAAUUUUCAUGUUGAAAAGUCUACUGUUUAUUUCCAAAAGAGCAAUGCUAAACUGAAACAUCUAAGGAAGGAUUGCCACUUGCUGAGUCUGAUGGUAGAAACACUUCCAGUAGUAAAGGAAACACAGAAGAAUCACUGUUGUUCAUAAAUAAUACACAGAAGAUGAAAGCAAGAGCUAAAGAACCACCUGUGCAAGUCAUACGAAGAAAAAAUAUGUUUUAUCAUAAAAGCUAGUGAAAAAAAAAAGGCUCAGUAAUUAUAAAAAGGAAAAUCAUUUAAAGCUGGAUCUUCUGUUCCUGUGGU
Passer domesticus (house sparrow) is the source of this 2041-nucleotide long non-coding RNA. RefSeq lists it as uncharacterized. Lineage: Eukaryota; Metazoa; Chordata; Aves; Passeriformes; Passeridae. The record is from RefSeq and is a predicted model, not a curated record. The transcript is spliced from 4 exons.